AGAGUUUGAUCAUGGCUCAGGAUGAACGCUGGCGGCGUGCCUAACACAUGCAAGUCGAACGAAGCAUUAGAACUUGAUUUUUUCGGAAUGAAGGUUCUUGUGACUGAGUGGCGGACGGGUGAGUAACGCGUGGGCAACCUGCCUUACACAGGGGGACAACAGCUGGAAACGGCUGCUAAUACCGCAUAAGCGCGCGGUCUCGCAUGAGACAGUGUGAAAAACUCCGGUGGUGUAAGAUGGGCCCGCGUCUGAUUAGCUGGUUGGUGGGGUAACGGCCUACCAAGGCGACGAUCAGUAGCCGACCUGAGAGGGUGACCGGCCACAUUGGGACUGAGACACGGCCCAAACUCCUACGGGAGGCAGCAGUGGGGAAUAUUGCACAAUGGGGGAAACCCUGAUGCAGCGACGCCGCGUGAGCGAAGAAGUAUUUCGGUAUGUAAAGCUCUAUCAGCAGGGAAGAAAAUGACGGUACCUGACUAAGAAGCUCCGGCUAAAUACGUGCCAGCAGCCGCGGUAAUACGUAUGGAGCAAGCGUUAUCCGGAUUUACUGGGUGUA
RNAcentral lists this ribosomal RNA (556 nucleotides) under uncultured bacterium. RNAcentral describes it as "bacterial SSU rRNA". It matches the Rfam family "Bacterial small subunit ribosomal RNA", at positions 8 to 562 of the family's 1533-position model. The record is from RNAcentral.